UACGAGUACCCCAAGCGUUAUCCGGAAUUAUUGGGCGUAAAGGGUGCGUAGAUGGUGACAUUAGUCUUAUGUUAAAACCCUCAGCUUAACUGAGGAAUCGCAUGAGAAACGGUGUCACUAGAGGAUGUGAGAGGUGUGUAGAACUCAUGGAGUAGGGGUAAAAUCCGUUGAUAUCAUGGGGAAUACCAAAAGCGAAGGCAGCACACUGGCACAUUCCUGACGUUGAAGCACGAAAGCGUGGGUAGCGAAUGGG
RNAcentral lists this ribosomal RNA (253 nucleotides) under uncultured bacterium. RNAcentral's name for it is "partial 16S ribosomal RNA". It matches the Rfam family "Bacterial small subunit ribosomal RNA", at positions 524 to 776 of the family's 1533-position model. The record is from RNAcentral.